Molecule: unclassified non-coding RNA, 105 nt
Organism: Cricetulus griseus (Chinese hamster)
Lineage: Eukaryota; Metazoa; Chordata; Mammalia; Rodentia; Cricetidae
Rfam family: Y RNA
About the family: Y RNAs are components of the Ro ribonucleoprotein particle (Ro RNP), in association with Ro60 and La proteins. The Y RNAs and Ro60 and La proteins are well conserved, but the function of the Ro RNP is not known. In humans the RNA component can be one of four small RNAs -- hY1, hY3, hY4 and hY5.
Source: Ensembl
GGCUUGUUUGAAGGUAGUGAGUUAUGUAUUGCUCAAAGGCAGUUGCAUAUUAGACCCCUUUUCUAUACUUUCUCCUGUCACACUAUCACACCUGACAAGUUUAAA